AUAUAGGAUUCUGACAGCUGACAAAUGACAUUCCAAGAACUUAGCCGGAGCCCAGAUUGUGCACUGCUGUGGGAAUUUCUCCUCAUAGAUAUGUCCAACAACUCUGCUCUGGAGAAAAUGCUCAGAUGAGGAAACUGGGACUUGGGGGCUUUGCUUGAGAGAGCUGGGACAGAAACUGAGUCUUUUGGCUUCAAGUUCAUGAUUCAUUUAAAUGGCUGUGUUGUGUGGCCAUGUCUCCCUGAGUGACAAGCAGGCUGGUUAUGUGGAGUUGUCAGCACACAGGCCUCCCUGAAGACGGCCUUCUCCUCCAGGUGCCACGGUGUCAGGAGACACUCUCUCACAUUAGCACAAGCAGAAGAAUGAUGCACUGGACACUUGAAGUAAGAGCCCUUUGAAGCUGACGUGCUGCAGGAUAAAACACACUCUUUCUCUGGAAAAGAGAAAGCCAAGAUACUGUGGGAGCACAAGGAACAAUGAAGCCAAUGAAACGGAGGUCAGAGCUGAAGGUUUCUGCUAGAAGCAAGCUAUAUACA
Macaca mulatta (Rhesus monkey) is the source of this 533-nucleotide non-coding RNA. The record is from RefSeq and is a predicted model, not a curated record. Lineage: Eukaryota; Metazoa; Chordata; Mammalia; Primates; Cercopithecidae.